CGCGACAAAAAGUAAAUUAAAUUUGCCGCCGGAAAACGCUCUUAAUAAGCGCUGAAACGCGAGGUACAAAAGUCACAGGUGUUCCCAUUUCAACUUCACAUUUCGCUCAGUCCCAAUAGUGAGCUGUAUAAAAACAGCUGUGCUUUUCUUCUAGUUCAGUUAACCCAAACAGUGCCGAAAACGUUCGUGAGUGCUCCAGACGCAAACAUGUUUGCGAAGGAGAUUUUAAUUUUCACGCUCGUGGGUUUUGUGUUCUCACAGCAGCCUGCAGCUGUAGAAGACCCAACGGUUCCACCUUCAACCAAUGGCAUAGCUCGGCUGGCGUCUAGCUCGGUGAGGGGGGUGGGCACCCUUCUGGACAGCGGGGCGCACGCGACGGCCUCCGGGGUGGAACUGACGACCAACUCGAUGGCGAACGGGGUGAAGACGCUGGGCGGCGCCGCCGACCUGGCCAACAACGUCCAGCAGAUGAAGUUCGACGCCUUGCGGCAAGCCCGCCACGCGGCCGGUCGCUUCGGGGCGUCUCUCGCGGACCUGAGCAUGGGCGCCCUCACCGGGAUCCUGCGCAGGGGCGCUGAGGCCGUUGAUGCUACCAGGCGCGCUACUGAGUUCGUCCUCGGUGAAUCGGAUAAGGUCCAUGGUGCUAGCAAGAGGGUCGCCAAGUCCCUCGUGUCCAAUACGUCUGGCAGUUUUGUGAAUGUCCUCAACGGGGUUAGCAAUGUCGUCGACAAGGGCGGAGAAGUCCGCGAAGAGGUUGCCGAUACUGCAGGAGCUAUCCACGAUGCCAGUACCGAUUUGGUGAAAGAGGGGGUGCGAACUUGGAAAGACCUUGGUCUAUCGUCCAUAGGAAGCAUUAGAGCAGGCAUGCAGGAGGCAAGGAAAAGGGCCAGAGGAGGACAACUCCCAGAUGCAACCACGAGUCCAUCAGCGCCAACACCAGUGAAAGAGGAGCCGAAAAAACCAGCAGAGGAAACCAAACCGAAACCAGGAAAUUGGUUUGGAUGGUGAACGAGAUAUUCAAAUUUGAUCAAGUCGUUUUUUCGAAAUCUGUUCGGGAGUUUUUAAAAUAUGCGGCGCUUUUUUCCUGCUUCGUCUGGCAGGCAAUGAAUUGUUUUCAAGCAUGACGGGGGAGGGGGGCAACAUAAUUAAAAGCAAUACAUACUUCAAAUUUUUGGACCCUUAAGUUUUCUAUGCAGUUGAGAUAAAAUAAAAAUGUUAAAUUUUUUCCUCUUUUUUGAUCGAAUAAAUAGAAUAAAUUCACAUUUUUUGGUUAACUAUAACAUUAUUAUAUAUAUAAGGUAGGCAGCCAUUUUGCCAGGUUUAACUGAAUCACACCAACAAUGGGGGAAAAGUAGUUUGGAGUACUUCCAAAUUCUAGUCGUGCAUUAUUAAAGCCCGUUAAAAAUUCAAAGUUGAAAAAAGUUGAGAAAGAAAAAAGUUUUCAAAAUGUGUCUUUCACAUGGAGUCCUAUGGAGGAAAUAAACUUCAAAAAUAUUUUUCUCGAUGAAAACUUCAUAUGAAACUUAGUGUGUCUCUGUUAAACUCGGCCCGGUUGAUGUCUCAAAGGAAGUUCCUAAAUUGUAUAUAUAACUAUAAAUUUACUAAUGAAGUUACUGUACAAUGAUUUAUAAAUAACCUCGAGUUUUCUAUUUUUCAUGUGUUCCCUUCAUUUGAGCUUUUGCUACUUUUGAGCCUUUUUAAAAUCUCCUCUCAAAGCGGAUAUGGAAAAAAUUAUGGUAAUUUCAAAUAUAUUUUUGGAUAAUUUUGGUGUCAGCCAUUGGUACAGUUUCACCAGCCAGAACUAUGAUUGCUAUGUGCUACCACAUUUCUGUCUGACCAAACCAUACUUCUAGCUAAUGAAAGUAGACGCCUAUUUGGUGCCAAAAUCAAUCCAAAAUGUAGUUGAAAUUACCGUAAAUUCUUAACGUGAAGGCUCUUUUCGCAGUAGGCAGUCACGUAUCCAGCGUAAAUUCAGAAAGUAUGCAUUGCCAUGCUAAAAAAAAUACCGUACGAGCCAUCAGGCGUUGCUAAAUUUCCCUGACAAAUCGAGAAUUUCCAGAAAAAUGUGUGAAUUCCACUUUCGAUUGUUCAGAGGCUUUUCUUUUUAAAUUGAUCUAAAAAGUCUGAAAAUUUUAUAGGAAAAUAUUCAUAACUUUCUUUUAAAAUCAAUUUCUUUUUAGAGAAAAUUUCUCAAAAUUCGAUUGCUCAUGCGGCAUUACUACUUAGUACGGCAGUAUAGUUGUUUGCGCGCUCCUCCCUGAAGUACUCAAGAAUUUAUGGUUCGUUUUUGCCCAGUUUGUGACGUUGCGGUGCUGAUGGCGCAACGCAGGAAAGUUUGACUCGUGAAAUUUUAAACUAUCGAACAUUGCUCCCAUAUCAGUAUGAAAAGGUCAAUUGGAUCAGCUUUUUGACGUUAUGAUGGCGCGGUGCGGCGGUUGG
RNAcentral lists this long non-coding RNA (2439 nucleotides) under Bemisia tabaci. RNAcentral describes it as "lncRNA ENSSSA3NGG003083". Lineage: Eukaryota; Metazoa; Arthropoda; Insecta; Hemiptera; Aleyrodidae. The record is from RNAcentral.